RNAcentral lists this long non-coding RNA (661 nucleotides) under Homo sapiens (human). RNAcentral describes it as "HSALNT0290075". Lineage: Eukaryota; Metazoa; Chordata; Mammalia; Primates; Hominidae. The record is from RNAcentral.
UCUGCAGCCACGGGACCCCCAACAGCAGCCUCACAGAGCCUGCCCCGGCCACCCUAGUCUGGGCUAACUGUCCUGCCUUCUCCUCCAAGAUUCCCUUGCCUGGGUCCCUCCUCCCUCGGCCUCACCACACUCCUCUGGGGACCCUGUGCUUGGACUCCACCCUUUCCUGUCCAGACCACUGUGAAGGCCUUUAGUCACCUCCUAGAGAAGCAAGAUUUUCAGCCCUGGCUUUCUACCCCCACACCCUACAGCCGGCCAGGGGACAGGGUCGUGUUCACACAGUGCUAAGGGAACACGCUGACGUGUGUGACAUCAAGAACUCCAGUGCCCACACAGCCCGAGUCCGGAUGGGACGUUUGAAAUCAGGAAGGAGUGUGGGUUGGAUCCACGUUUCUGUUCAUACCAGGCAGGCACAUCGGAAGGCUCACGGUCAGAGGAUGCUGGGACAAACGCCACGAGAGGUUCCUUUUUGUCUGGCUCACCCAGAAGAGAGGCUCCUCUCCUCCCUUCCCUGCAGCACAACGGCCUGGCUGGCACCCAAAGGGCAGCCGGCAUGGGCUGACCUCAGAGGAGCAAGGCGUGUUUGCAGCUCUGCCGCUCACAUCCACAGUGGCCAUGACAACAGGUGCAGCACCAUCCAUUAAAGCCCUGUGUCAUUUCA